GCCAGGUGCAAUGGCCCACACCUGUAAUCCCAGCAGCUCAGGAGGCUGAGGCAGGAGGACUGCAAGUUUGAGGACAGCCUCAGCAAUUUGGCCAAGCUCUAAGCAACUUAGUGAGACCCUGUCUCAA
This 127-nucleotide small RNA is filed under the name Marmota monax (woodchuck). Lineage: Eukaryota; Metazoa; Chordata; Mammalia; Rodentia; Sciuridae. The record is from RNAcentral.